GCAUGCUUUUUACAUUUCAUUUGAGUAGCCCCUCGUGCACUAAUUCUCGUACAGCAUUGCCUGCCCACGACUGCGUUGUUUUGCCCACACGCAUUCUCUAAUUUGUUUCUGUCCGCGACCACGACCCUUCACUGUGCGUCACGCCGGUCUUACGCAGAGCCGGGCCACACAGCCUGUGUGAACAUCGCCGGCGGCCUUUCGAGUCGACUGCGAGACGCCGUGUUCGAAGGGAGAAGUCGUCGUUCCUAGGCUUCACGCGUCCCGCGUCGGCGGCGACCAGCAGCAGCAGCAGCAGCAGCAGCACGGCCAUGCUGAGCGGCGGCCGACCCCGACGAGCUCCCCCGCGAGACUGGCCCUUCCCCCGCGACCGGCUCCGGGUGUCUCCCUCUCCCGGCCAUUUCCGUCUGGACGCGGGUGGGAGCGGCCCACGGAGCGGACGUGCGCCACCGAGUGACGAACGACGCGGUGCCGAACGUCGGACAGCUCUUGUUUGGACACUGGCUGGUGUGGCGAAACAAAUCGGCUUUUCACGCACGCGGGAACAGCGCGGCUGGGAACAGACGUGGCUUCACCGCGAAAGUUCUGCGAAUGCCUGAACACGCUCGGACUCGAACUAGGAAAGUACAGCGCCCACUAAAGGCAAUUUCACAUGGCGUGAUUGGGGCGAAAAAAAUCGUCCUGCCGCGCACGUCGCCGAGCGAAUUUCGCCGACAGCUUUCACGUGCGACAGCGCGAUUUCCGUCGUAGCGAUGCGCUCACGAUGCGCUCGCAGUAUCCUUGCCUUCAUCGUUAAAUAAAAACAAUAAGGAAACUCGUUAAACAUUCCAA
This is a long non-coding RNA of Dermacentor albipictus, 828 nucleotides long. RefSeq lists it as uncharacterized. The record is from RefSeq and is a predicted model, not a curated record. NCBI's taxonomy places the organism in Eukaryota, Metazoa, Arthropoda, Arachnida, Ixodida, Ixodidae.